GCCUCUGUAGCUCAGUCUGGUAGAGCGCUUCCUUGGUAAGGAAGAGGUCCCGGGUUCAAUUCCCGGCAGGGGCU
RNAcentral lists this transfer RNA (74 nucleotides) under Candidatus Altarchaeota archaeon. RNAcentral's name for it is "tRNA-Thr". It matches the Rfam family "tRNA". From Rfam's summary of the family: Transfer RNA (tRNA) molecules are approximately 80 nucleotides in length. Their secondary structure includes four short double-helical elements and three loops (D, anti-codon, and T loops). Further hydrogen bonds mediate the characteristic L-shaped molecular structure. tRNAs have two regions of fundamental functional importance: the anti-codon, which is responsible for specific mRNA codon recognition, and the 3' end, to which the tRNAs corresponding amino acid is attached (by aminoacyl-tRNA synthetases). tRNAs cope with the degeneracy of the genetic code in two manners: having more than one tRNA (with a specific anti-codon) for a particular amino acid; and 'wobble' base-pairing, i.e. permitting non-standard base-pairing at the 3rd anti-codon position. Lineage: Archaea; Nanobdellati; Candidatus Altarchaeota. The record is from RNAcentral.